AUGUUGAGGACACACAGAAUAUUGAAGGAUCAACUCUACUUAUUCCAAAUACACUUUAAUAUUUUGAGUGCCAGACCAGAGUUCGAGAAAUAACUGCGGUAGAAUGAUAAUGAGAAGUUUAACAGUUUUAUGAUGGUUGAAGCUGACUUUAUGAAAGUUGAUAAAUUUCAUCUUGUAGGUUUCAAUUUCUCAUUCCCUACCGAGAGAUGGAGAGAAUACAUUGAUACUGCAUUUCAAAUUGGCUAGAUCAGAAGGAACAGCAGCUAAAAUCCAUUACAACCCAAUUACAUCCAUCAGCUGAAGCUGUGUGCAUUCACUCGUGAACAUCAGCAUUUAAUCCAUAAAGAGGAACUAAUGAGAAAUUUGAAAAUGGAAUCCACGCAUCAUUUUAGUGCCCUGAGCAGCAGGAAAGUGAUGGAAACUGAAGAAGAGACUAGGCCUUGCACAUUCCCUGCCUCUGGAAAGGGCACACCUGCCACACAGCUCUUUAAAGACUGGACUGCCAUUGGGAAAGAAAUCUGGCUGGGGCCUGGCCAGCAGGUGGCAGUACUAAGCAAGACAAGAUGUGGAGAGACUGAUCCUAUCAGGGAAUCAGUCUCUAUCAUCACGAAACUCAAGGUAUGA
This 624-nucleotide long non-coding RNA is filed under the name Oryctolagus cuniculus (rabbit). Its description in RNAcentral is "lncRNA (ENSOCUG00000039086.1)". The record is from RNAcentral. Lineage: Eukaryota; Metazoa; Chordata; Mammalia; Lagomorpha; Leporidae.